UAAAAUGUAUUCUGCCCAGUGAAAUUUUUUAACGGCCGCAGUACUUUGACUGUGCUAAGGUAGCAUAAUAAAUUGACUUUUAAUUGAGGUCUUGAAUCAAAGGAAUUAUGAAUAACCGCUGUCUUUUAAUAAUUUAAUAAAAUUUACUAAUAAGGUGAAAAUUCCUUAAUUUAUAAAAUAGACGAGAAGACCCUAGGAGUUUUAUAAUUUUGUUGGGGCGACAUAACAGCAUUUAACCUGUUAAUUAUUUAAAUUAUAACAAAUUUUAUUAAUUCAAAUUAAGCUACCCUAGGGAUAACAGCAUAAUUUAUUAAGUUUGUGACCUCGAUGUUGGACUAGGAAUAGUAAAUAUUAACGAUAUUUAUUCAUGUUCUGUUCGAA
RNAcentral lists this ribosomal RNA (381 nucleotides) under Euconulus polygyratus. Its description in RNAcentral is "partial 16S ribosomal RNA". The record is from RNAcentral. Lineage: Eukaryota; Metazoa; Mollusca; Gastropoda; Stylommatophora; Euconulidae.